This 250-nucleotide ribosomal RNA is filed under the name uncultured bacterium. RNAcentral's name for it is "partial 16S ribosomal RNA". It matches the Rfam family "Bacterial small subunit ribosomal RNA", at positions 524 to 773 of the family's 1533-position model. The record is from RNAcentral.
AACGUAGGAGGCGAGCGUUAUCCGGAUUUACUGGGUGUAAAGCGCGAGCAGGCGGUGGAAGAAGUGGGUUGUGAAAGCGCCCGGCUCAACCGGGCGAGGACGAUCCAAACUCUUACACUGGAGACAGGCAGAGGCGGAUGGAAUUCCGGGUGUAGUGGUGAAAUGCGUAGAGAUCCGGAGGAACACCAGUGGCGAAGGCGGUCCGCUGGGCCUUGUCUGACGCUCAGACGCGAAAGCAUGGGGAGCGAAC